GACGAACGCUGGCGGCGUGCUUAACACAUGCAAGUCGAGCGGAAAGGCCCUUCGGGGUACUCGAGCGGCGAACGGGUGAGUAACACGUGAGUAACCUGCCCCAGACUUUGGGAUAACCCUCGGAAACGGGGGCUAAUACCGGAUACGACACAGCUUCGCAUGGGGUCUGUGUGGAAAGUUUUUCGGUUUGGGAUGGGCUCGCGGCCUAUCAGCUUGUUGGUGGGGUGAUGGCCUACGAAGGCGACGACGGGUAGCCGGCCUGAGAGGGCGACCGGCCACACUGGGACUGAGACACGGCCCAGACUCCUACGGGAGGCAGCAGUGGGGAAUAUUGCACAAUGGGCGGAAGCCUGAUGCAGCGACGCCGCGUGAGGGAUGACGGCCUUCGGGUUGUAAACCUCUUUCAGCAGGGACGAAGCGUAAGUGACGGUACCUGCAGAAGAAGCGCCGGCCAACUACGUG
Molecule: ribosomal RNA, 462 nt
Filed under: uncultured bacterium
Lineage: Bacteria
Description: partial 16S ribosomal RNA
Rfam family: Bacterial small subunit ribosomal RNA
Source: RNAcentral